Molecule: ribosomal RNA, 519 nt
Filed under: uncultured bacterium
Lineage: Bacteria
Description: bacterial SSU rRNA
Rfam family: Bacterial small subunit ribosomal RNA
Source: RNAcentral
AGAGUUUGAUCCUGGCUCAGAAUGAACGUUGGCGGCGUGGAUUAGGCAUGCAAGUCGAACGAGAACCCCGCAAGGGGGAAUAGUGGCAAACGGGGUAGGAAUGAGUAGGUGACGUACCCUCUGGACGGGGAUAGCCACGGGAAACUGUGAGUAAUACCCGAUGAUCCCAUUCGAUAUGGUAUUGAAUGGGCAAAGGUGAGAUUCCACCGGAGGAGCGGCUUACUUAGUAUUAGCUAGUUGGUGAGGUAAUGGCUCACCAAGGCUGCGAUGCUUAGGGGAUGUGAGAGCAUGAUCCCCACCACUGGGACUGAGAUACUGCCCAGACACCUACGGGUGGCUGCAGUCGAGAAUCUUCGGCAAUGGGCGCAAGCCUGACCGAGCGACGCCGCGUGUGGGAUGAAGGCCCUUGGGUUGUAAACCACUGUCAGAGGGGAUGAAGUGCAGUAGAGCUAUCUCUACUGUUUGACAUAGCCUCAGAGGAAGCACGGGCUAAGUUCGUGCCAGCAGCCGCGGUAAUAC